AUCGAUCGUUGACUGUACA
RNAcentral lists this microRNA (19 nucleotides) under Xenopus laevis (African clawed frog). RNAcentral's name for it is "xla-miR-181a-3p". Its record names the gene xla-miR-181a-3p. The record is from miRBase by way of RNAcentral. Lineage: Eukaryota; Metazoa; Chordata; Amphibia; Anura; Pipidae.